RNAcentral lists this ribosomal RNA (385 nucleotides) under bacterium enrichment culture clone ALO1_GLFRUDD03GXQA1. Its description in RNAcentral is "bacterial SSU rRNA". It matches the Rfam family "Bacterial small subunit ribosomal RNA", at positions 9 to 386 of the family's 1533-position model. The record is from RNAcentral.
GAGUUUGAUCAUGGCUCAGAUUGAACGCUGGCGGCAUGCCUUACACAUGCAAGUCGAACGGCAGCACGGGAGCUUGCUCCUGGGUGGCGAGUGGCGAACGGGUGAGUAAUGCAUCGGGAACGUAUCCUGGAGUGGGGGAUAACGUAGCGAAAGUUACGCUAAUACCGGCAUAUUCUGUGAGCAGGAAAGCGGGGGACCUUCGGGCCUCGCGCUCUUGGAGCGGCCGGAUGUCGGAUUAGCUAGUUGGUGAGGUAAAGGACUCACCAAGGCGACGAUCCGUAGCAGGUCUGAGAGGAUGAUCUGCCACACUGGAACUGAGACACGGUCCAGACUCCUACGGGAGGCAGCAGUGGGGAAUUUUGGACAAUAGGGGGCGAACCCUCGA